This 443-nucleotide ribosomal RNA is filed under the name uncultured bacterium. RNAcentral describes it as "bacterial SSU rRNA". It matches the Rfam family "Bacterial small subunit ribosomal RNA", at positions 339 to 794 of the family's 1533-position model. The record is from RNAcentral.
GUACGGGAGGCAGCAGUGGGGAAUAUUGGACAAUGGGCGAAAGCCUGAUCCAGCAACGCCGCGUGAGGGAUGACUGCCUUCGGGUUGUAAACCUCUUUCAGUAGGGACGAAGCGCAAGUGACGGUACCUACAGAAGAAGCACCGGCCAACUACGUGCCAGCAGCCGCGGUAAUACGUAGGGUGCGAGCGUUGUCCGGAAUUAUUGGGCGUAAAGGGCUCGUAGGCGGUUUGUCGCGUCGGGAGUGAAAACUCAGGGCUUAACCCUGAGCCUGCUUCCGAUACGGGCAGACUAGAGGUAUGCAGGGGAGAACGGAAUUCCUGGUGUAGCGGUGAAAUGCGCAGAUAUCAGGAGGAACACCGGUGGCGAAGGCGGUUCUCUGGGCAUUACCUGACGCUGAGGAGCGAAAGUGUGGGGAGCGAACAGGAUUAGAUACCCCGGUAGU